GAUGAACGCUGGCGGCGUGCCUAAUACAUGCAAGUCGAGCGAACGGACGAGAAGCUUGCUUCUCUGAUGUUAGCGGCGGACGGGUGAGUAACACGUGGAUAACCUACCUAUAAGACUGGGAUAACUUCGGGAAACCGGAGCUAAUACCGGAUGAUAUUUUGAACCGCAUGGUUCAAAAGUGAAAGACGGUCUUGCUGUCACUUAUAGAUGGAUCCGCGCUGCAUUAGCUAGUUGGUAAGGUAACGGCUUACCAAGGCAACGAUGCAUAGCCGACCUGAGAGGGUGAUCGGCCACACUGGAACUGAGACACGGUCCAGACUCCUACGGGAGGCAGCAGUAGGGAAUCUUCCGCAAUGGGCGAAAGCCUGGCGGAGCAACGCCGCGUGAGUGAUGAAGGCCUUCGGAUCGUAAAACUCUGUUAUUAGGGAAGAACAUAUGUGUAAGUAACUGUGCACAUCUUGACGGUACCUAAUCAGAAAGCCACGGCUAACUACGUG
This 497-nucleotide ribosomal RNA is filed under the name uncultured bacterium. RNAcentral's name for it is "partial 16S ribosomal RNA". It matches the Rfam family "Bacterial small subunit ribosomal RNA", at positions 28 to 507 of the family's 1533-position model. The record is from RNAcentral.